This 250-nucleotide ribosomal RNA is filed under the name uncultured bacterium. RNAcentral describes it as "partial 16S ribosomal RNA". It matches the Rfam family "Bacterial small subunit ribosomal RNA", at positions 355 to 621 of the family's 1533-position model. The record is from RNAcentral.
UCGAGAAUAUUCCUCAAUGGGCGAAAGCCUGAAGGAGCGACGCCGCGUGCAGGAUGAAGGGCUUCGGCUCGUAAACUGCUUUUCCUAGGGAAGAACAUUGACGGUACCUAGGGAAUAAGAGGUUGCUAACUCUGUGCCAGCAGCAGCGGUAAUACAGAGACCUCAAGCGAUAUCCGGAUUUAUUGGGCGUAAAGGGUCCGCAGGUGGCCGUUCACGUCGGUGGUCAAAUGUACGGGCUCAACUCGUACAC